RNAcentral lists this ribosomal RNA (517 nucleotides) under uncultured bacterium. Its description in RNAcentral is "bacterial SSU rRNA". It matches the Rfam family "Bacterial small subunit ribosomal RNA", at positions 8 to 526 of the family's 1533-position model. The record is from RNAcentral.
AGAGUUUGAUCAUGGCUCAGGAUGAACGCUAGCGGCAGGCUUAAUACAUGCAAGUCAAACGGGGCUAAUAGCAAUAUUAGUUCAGUGGCGCACGGGUGAGUAACGCGUACACAACCUACCUUACAGCGGGGGAUAGCAUCUGGAAACGGGUGGUAAUACCGCAUAGUUUCGUGAUUCGGCAUCGGAUUUCGAAUAAAGUUAAGGCGCUGUGAGAUGGGUGUGCGUCUGAUUAGGUAGUUGGUAGGGUAACGGCCUACCAAGCCGACGAUCAGUAGGGGGCGUGAGAGCGUGGUCCCCCCACGGGUACUGAGACACGGACCCGACUCCUACGGGAGGCAGCAGUAAGGAAUAUUGGACAAUGGCCGCAAGGCUGAUCCAGCCAUCCAGCGUGCAGGAAGAAGGCCCUAUGGGUUGUAAACUGCUUUUGUCAGGGAAGAAACCUCUGGAUUUACUCCGGAACUGACGGUACCUGAAGAAUAAGCACCGGCUAACUCCGUGCCAGCCGCCGCGGUAAUAC